This 728-nucleotide ribosomal RNA is filed under the name uncultured eukaryote. RNAcentral describes it as "SSU rRNA". It matches the Rfam family "Eukaryotic small subunit ribosomal RNA", at positions 670 to 1426 of the family's 1831-position model. The record is from RNAcentral.
CGGGUGCACUGAUCCGGCCGGGCCUUUCCCUCUGUGGAACCCCAUGGCCUUCACUGGCUGUGCGGGGGAAACAGGACUUUUACUGUGAAAAAUUAGAGUGCUCCAGGCAGGCCUAUGCUCGAAUACAUUAGCAUGGAAUAAUAGAAUAGGACGCGUGGUUCUAUUUUGUUGGUUUCUAGGACCGCCGUAAUGAUUAAUAGGGACAGUCGGGGGCAUCAGUAUUCAAUUGUCAGAGGUGAAAUUCUUGGAUCUAUUGAAGACUAACUACUGCGAAAGCAUUUGCCAAGGAUGUUUUCAUUGAUAAGGAACGAAAGUUAGGGGAUCGAAGACGAUCAGAUACCGUCGUAGUCUUAACUAUAAACUAUGCCGACUAGGGAUCGGACGAUGUUAUUUCUUGACGCGUUCGGCACCUUUCGAGAAAUCAAAGUGCUUGGGCUCCAGGGGGAGUAUGGUCGCAAGGCUGAAACUUAAAGAAAUUGACGGAAGGGCACCACCAGGGGUGGAACCUGCGGCUUAAUUUGACUCAACACGGGGAAACUCACCAGGUCCAGACACAGUGAGGAUUGACAGAUUGAGAGCUCUUUCUUGAUUCUGUGGGUGGUGGUGCAUGGCCGUUCUUAGUUGGUGGAGUGAUUUGUCUGCUUAAUUGCGAUAACGAACGAGACCUUAACCUGCUAAAUAGCCCGUACUGCUCUGGCAGUUCGCCGGCUUCUUAGAGGGACUAUCGG